UUCAUUUCUUGGUAUGUUCCUUUCCUCUAUUUUUUCUUAUUUCUCUCUAUUCUGGGCUACCUCACAUACAUGAUAUUUGCUUUAUGUUCUCUCUUUGUUCAUUUGUGAGUACAGGUUUGGAGUUGCAAUAUUUGCUACUUCUUAUUAAUUCUCUGUGCAUGAAGAUUAUACAUCUGAGAAUCAAUUCAUGUGUAAGGAGCCUUAUGUAUAAAGAGAAAUUGUUUAAUUUUCAGAGCCAGAACAAUGAGCAGCCUAAUCAGGAGAAAGAGUUAAAUUUCAAGUUUUUCCAAUUCUCAAGCCCUUGGGGUGCAUUCCACAUUCUUUUCAGACCCUUUAAGUUUUGGAUCUAUUUUUUUGAAAAAAAAAUUUAGCGUCUGUUUUUGUUUCUGUAAUGAUGACAGUCAGUUACUGAUUUUGAUACUUUAUCUGUAUUGAGCAAUUCUUCUUGGGUAAAUACUUCAGCUUUAGUAAUGAGAUACAAAUUUUUUAAAAUAGUUCACCUCUAGAUUUAAUUUCUGUAACUGACUUGGCUUUCUUAUAAUUUUGCUUAUAUGAUACAAAUUACAACUGAAUUUACCUAUGAUUUUCUCACUCUGGAUUAACGUUGCUUGGUUUUUUUAUAUAUAUAUGUAUUUGGUACAUGGUUUAGGUUAUUUCGGGAGAAUAUUUGGGAGCAGCGGAUGAUUGUGAAUAUAUUGGAGAUCAUGAACAGCAUGACUAUGAGAUAUGCACUUGUUCAGUAUCAUUUCGAAUCAAGAAAUGACAAGACAGUCGAUCCAGGUACCUUCCAUUUCAUUGUUUCAGGAAAUUGCAUUACAUUUGGUUUAGUUACAUAAAAAUUAGAUCAUAACCGUGAAAGACAAAACAAAUUCCAAGUAUUGUUUUGAGGUGAUAUCACUUUAAAAACUAGCUAUCAAGUACAAAUUAUUUCUUAGAAGAUGUUUUUCAACAAGCAUUGCUGAAAAAUUUCCAAGAAACUAUUCAAAUACUAUUAAGGUUUACUGGAUAAAAGUGAUAAUCGUUAUAACUGAUAGUGCAUGCAUGACAAGAUGUUUUAAAUUCUUGAAAAGGAAGAGAGAUGAAAAUAAUAGUUUUUGGUUCCAUAUAUAUAGCUGUUCUCACGCCACGAAAUGAGCUCGAUGUUUCAACCCCGCAGGAGCAUUAUUGUAAACUUUAUCAUCUAUAGUUUUUCAAUAUUUCAUUUGGAUAACAACAGAUAAAUUUAAGGUCAAAAGAGUUCUUUAUUAUUAAUUGAUAUCAAAUUAAUACUUGCACAUCUAUUAGUAAUGUUGCAGAUCAACAAAAUAUAACAAGUUUGGUUUUUGGACAUAUUUCAGUACAUGAGCAAAUUAAAUAUAUGACCAUUACGAAGACUUUUAUAUAUAUACAUCAUUGUGCAUGUAUAAUAGGAUAUUUUUAUCUAUAGUAUAAUAUAUGCAAAAGACAGAAGUCCAAAUAUUUGAAGUUAGAUUCUUCUUUACUCAAAUAGAUUGAAUGACUUGGUAACAUGUGUACUAAUUAAUUACUCUCCCUGUUUGGCUUAUACGGACGAAGUUGAAAAGCUAGAAGCUGGAAAAUAUUUGAAGGUUUAUCAUAUCAAGAUUUGCCAAAACAAUAGAUAAUUUUGAUUCCGUUAUCAUUUUUCUGCAUCUUAAAUAUUGACAAGAACAAAUCACACCAAAUUAUUAUUUUAGAAUUCAUCAAAUUCUCCUUGUGAUAGCAAACCAGGGCAGCUAGGAUUACAAUAUGCAACAAGCACCUAUAGUGCUCAAAAGUCCUUCAGUAAAUUUGUUCUCUUGCGAUCAACGGUUGGCAUUCAGUAAAAUCAUGAGUACGAAUGCAGAAAAGGAGAAGUCUACUCCACGGUGGAGCUUAAUUUAAUUUGUUUGCUCUCUAAAGUUAUGUAUUUUUUAUACAAAUUGUACUAGCCAGGGGGAUCCACCAACUUUUUGAAAAAAUAAGUGGGAAUUUUGAGAUCUUUGUAAAAAUCUGUAGGAAAUCAAGAGAGACACCGACUACUUUGGUCUGUGCAUUUUAAUAUGUGCAACAUGCGUAACUUCUAAAGAUUUGCUUAAGUAUUGUAAAACUCAAGUUUGUA
Molecule: long non-coding RNA, 2098 nt
Organism: Nicotiana attenuata
Lineage: Eukaryota; Viridiplantae; Streptophyta; Magnoliopsida; Solanales; Solanaceae
Exons: 2
Source: RefSeq, a predicted model, not a curated record